AGUAACACGUCGAUAAUCUACCCUUAGGUCUGGGAUAACCUCGGGAAACUGAGGGUAACACCGGAUAAGGAAAUCCAACUGGAAGGUGGGUUUCUUCAAACGCAAGGCCUAAGGAUGAGUCGGCGGCGGAUUAGGUUGUUGGCGAGGUAAUGGCUCACCAAGCCGAAGAUCCGUAGGGGCCUUGAGAGAGGUAGCCCCGAGAAGGGCACUGAGAUACUGGCCCUAGCUCCACGGAGUGCAGCAGGCGCGAAACCUUUACAAUGCACGAAAGUGUGAUAAGGGAACCCUGAGUGAUGAUGCUUUGCAUCAUCUUUUGCUGAGAGCAAAAAUCUCAGCGAAUAAGUGGUGGGCAAUACCUGUGCCAGCCGCCGCGGUAACCCAGGAGCCACAAGUGGCAACCACCUUUAUUGGGCCUAAAGCGUCCGUAGCCGGUUCUGUAAAUUUUCUGUGAAAUCGUUGCGCUUAACGUAACGGCGUGCAGAAAACACUGCAGGACUCGGGACCGGGAGGAGUCAGAGGUAUUUUGGGGGGAGCGGUAAAAUGCUAUAAUCCCCGAAGGACCACCUGUGGCGAAGGCGUCUGACUAGAACGGAUCCGACGGUGAGGGACGAAAGCUAGGGGAGCAAUCCGGAUUAGAUACCCGAGUAGUCCUAGCUGUAAACUCUGCGAGCUAGGUGUUACGUAAUCUUAGGGAUUACGUGGUGUCGUAGCGAAGGUGCUAAGCUCGCCGCCUGGGGAGUACGGUCGCAAG
This 751-nucleotide ribosomal RNA is filed under the name uncultured archaeon. Its description in RNAcentral is "bacterial SSU rRNA". It matches the Rfam family "Archaeal small subunit ribosomal RNA", at positions 92 to 847 of the family's 1478-position model. The record is from RNAcentral.